AAUCAAUAUUUUAUCACUUAAUUGGAAUAUGGAAAUGUUACCACUAAGAUUUCUCUCCUUUAUGCUUCAGCUGUGUUUUGUAUUACCUCUACGUACACGAAAACUCCCAUCAGAGAAUGGUCUAUUUUGUACUUUCAACAAACCCGAACACAUUUUACAAACUUCAAGAGGAGAAAAACAAAGUAUUAUAUACACCUAGAUAUUUUCCCUUUGUUUCUCUUUCUUCACUCCUGAUGUUCCAAAUUUCCUCCUGGUAUCAUUUCCCUUGGAUCUGAAGAACUUCCGUUAGCAAUCUUCUGAAGCAGGGCUACUGCCAAGAACUACUUUCAGUUUCCUUUCAUCUGAGAAUGUGUCUAAUUCCCCUUAAGUGCUGAAGGACAUUUCACCGAUACAAGAUUCCAAGUUGAUGCUUCAUUUCUGAUGCCACUUCCUUCCGAUGCAGAGUUGCUUUGUCUGAGCUGAACUGCAGGUGUGAGGCCUGGUUGCUUCACUGUCUUCUCAGGCUCCCAAGAGAUUAUUGAUGACCACAGUUUGGAAACCUCUCAACCUUGAUCAUUCCUUGAUGUCUUCUAGAGUAUGAGUGGGAGAGAAGCAGAGAGAGAGGGAGACACAGAAUCUGAAGCAGGCUCCAGACUGAGCUGUCAGCACAGAGCCCAACACAGGGCUCGAACCCACGGACCAUGACCUGAGCUGAAGUCAGACACUUAACUUACUGAGCCACCCAGCAUAGUUUAAAGAAGUCUGAUAAAUGGUAUGAGAAAGGAGUCCAGUGUUAGAGACCAAAGGGAUGCAGCCAGAAGAAAAAAAAAAAAAGGUGGGCUCUAGAGCAUCAACUAUGUAACUCAGUCACAGCACCGGAUAAUUCAUUGAUGACUGCACCUCUCUUGGGGAAAGUAUUUUCAAUGAUAUCCUUUGAAAGAGACAAGAAAUCCUUACAGAACGAGGACAAACCUGGAUUGAAAUUCCAACUUGGUUAUUUGCUACAAAUGUACUGUGAUUCUCAAUUUCUUUAUAAUAAAAUGAUGAGUGUAUCAACUAUCUAGUUGGAUUGUUGAAAGUAUCAAAAAUAAUGCAAGAAAAAUGCUUGCCACAUGGUAGGUGAAUGGUAGCCAACAUCAUUGGUCUUACU
Long non-coding RNA from Acinonyx jubatus (cheetah), 1129 nucleotides. RefSeq lists it as uncharacterized. The record is from RefSeq and is a predicted model, not a curated record. Lineage: Eukaryota; Metazoa; Chordata; Mammalia; Carnivora; Felidae. The transcript is spliced from 4 exons.